CGAAAGCCUGAUCCAGCAAUACCGCGUGCAGGAAGAAGGCCUUCGGGUUGUAAACUGCUUUUGUACGGAACGAAACGGUCUGGAUUAAUACUCUGGGCUAAUGACGGUACCGUAAGAAUAAGCACCGGCUAACUACGUGCCAGCAGCCGCGGUAAUACGUAGGGUGCAAGCGUUAAUCGGAAUUACUGGGCGUAAAGCGUGCGCAGGCGGUUUUGUAAGACAGGCGUGAAAUCCCCGGGCUCAACCUGGGAAUUGCGCUUGUGACUGCAAGGCUAGAGUACGGUAGAGGGGGGUAGAAUUCCG
Molecule: ribosomal RNA, 303 nt
Filed under: uncultured beta proteobacterium
Lineage: Bacteria; Pseudomonadati; Pseudomonadota; Betaproteobacteria
Description: bacterial SSU rRNA
Rfam family: Bacterial small subunit ribosomal RNA
Source: RNAcentral